RNAcentral lists this ribosomal RNA (1411 nucleotides) under Dolichospermum planctonicum CENA209. RNAcentral's name for it is "bacterial SSU rRNA". It matches the Rfam family "Bacterial small subunit ribosomal RNA". The record is from RNAcentral. Lineage: Bacteria; Bacillati; Cyanobacteriota; Cyanophyceae; Nostocales; Aphanizomenonaceae.
GAUGAACGCUGGCGGUAUGCUUAACACAUGCAAGUCGAACGGUCUUUUAGGAGACAGUGGCGGACGGGUGAGUAACGCGUAAGAAUCUACCCUCAGGUCGGGGACAACCACUGGAAACGGUGGCUAAUACCGGAUGUGCCGAGAGGUGAAAGGCUUGCGGCCUGGGGAAGAGCUUGCGUCUGAUUAGCUAGUUGGUAGUGUAAGAGGCUACCAAGGCGACGAUCAGUAGCUGGUCUGAGAGGAUGAUCAGCCACACUGGGACUGAGACACGGCCCAGACUCCUACGGGAGGCAGCAGUGGGGAAUUUUCCGCAAUGGGCGAAAGCCUGACGGAGCAAUACCGCGUGAGGGAGGAAGGCUCUUGGGUUGUAAACCUCUUUUCUCAGGGAAGAAAAAAAUGACGGUACCUGAGGAAUAAGCAUCGGCUAACUCCGUGCCAGCAGCCGCGGUAAUACGGAGGAUGCAAGCGUUAUCCGGAAUGAUUGGGCGUAAAGGGUCCGCAGGUGGCAUUGAAAGUCUGCUGUUAAAGAGUCUAGCUCAACUAGAUAAAAGCAGUGGAAACUACAAAGCUAGAGUUUGGUCGGGGCAGAAGGAAUUCCUGGUGUAGCGGUGAAAUGCGUAGAUAUCAGGAAGAACACCAGUGGCGAAGGCGUUCUGCUAGGCCGAGACUGACACUGAGGGACGAAAGCUAGGGGAGCGAAUGGGAUUAGAUACCCCAGUAGUCCUAGCCGUAAACGAUGGAUACUAGGCGUAGCUCGUAUCGACCCGAGCUGUGCCGGAGCUAACGCGUUAAGUAUCCCGCCUGGGGAGUACGCAGGCAACUGUGAAACUCAAAGGAAUUGACGGGGGCCCGCACAAGCGGUGGAGUAUGUGGUUUAAUUCGAUGCAACGCGAAGAACCUUACCAAGGCUUGACAUGUCACGAAUCCUGUGGAAACAUAGGAGUGCCUUCGGGAGCGUGAACACAGGUGGUGCAUGGCUGUCGUCAGCUCGUGUCGUGAGAUGUUGGGUUAAGUCCCGCAACGAGCGCAACCCUCGUUUUUAGUUGCCAGCAUUAAGUUGGGCACUCUAGAGAGACUGCCGGUGACAAACCGGAGGAAGGUGGGGAUGACGUCAAGUCAGCAUGCCCCUUACGUCUUGGGCUACACACGUACUACAAUGCUACGGACAAAGGGCAGCUACACAGCGAUGUGAUGCGAAUCUCAUAAACCGUAGCUCAGUUCAGAUCGAAGGCUGCAACUCGCCUUCGUGAAGGAGGAAUCGCUAGUAAUUGCAGGUCAGCAUACUGCAGUGAAUUCGUUCCCGGGCCUUGUACACACCGCCCGUCACACCAUGGAAGUUGGUCACGCCCGAAGUCGUUACCCCAACCGCAAGGGGGGGGAUGCCUAAGGUAGGACUGAUGACUGGGGUGAA